UUGAAAUACCACCCUUUAAUGUUUGAUGUUCUAACGUGGACCCGUAAUCCGGGUUGCGGACAGUGUCUGGUGGGUAGUUUGACUGGGGCGGUCUCCUCCUAAAGAGUAACGGAGGAGCACGAAGGUUGGCUAAUCCUGGUCGGACAUCAGGAGGUUAGUGCAAUGGCAUAAGCCAGCUUGACUGCGAGCGUGACGGCGCGAGCAGGUGCGAAAGCAGGUCAUAGUGAUCCGGUGGUUCUGAAUGGAAGGGCCAUCGCUCAACGGAUAAAAGGUACUCCGGGGAUAACAGGCUGAUACCGCCCAAGAGUUCAUAUCGACGGCGGUGUUUGGCACCUCGAUGUCGGCUCAUCACAUCCUGGGGCUGAAGUAGGUCCCAAGGGUAUGGCUGUUCGCCAUUUAAAGUGGUACGCGAGCUGGGUUUAGAACGUCGUGAGACAGUUCGGUCCCUAUCUGCCGUGGGCGCUGGAGAACUGAGGGGGGCUGCUCCUAGUACGAGAGGACCGGAGUGGACGCAUCACUGGUGUUCGGGUUGUCAUGCCAAUGGCACUGCCCGGUAGCUAAAUGCGGAAGAGAUAAGUGCUGAAAGCAUCUAAGCACGAAACUUGCCCCGAGAUGAGUUCUCCCUGAGACUUUAGGUCUCCUGAAGG
RNAcentral lists this ribosomal RNA (647 nucleotides) under Salmonella enterica subsp. enterica serovar Corvallis. RNAcentral's name for it is "partial 23S ribosomal RNA". It matches the Rfam family "Bacterial large subunit ribosomal RNA", at positions 2192 to 2844 of the family's 2925-position model. Lineage: Bacteria; Pseudomonadati; Pseudomonadota; Gammaproteobacteria; Enterobacterales; Enterobacteriaceae. The record is from RNAcentral.